AUCCAAAGCUGACACUAGGCUGCAGCUGAGGCAGCAUUCAUUCUGUGCUGUCUUCAGGAAAGCAAGAGAUGCUGCCAACCCCAGUGGGUGUACAAAGGGUAUCUGGGAGAGGGUGCUUUGGGACAAGCCUGUACAACCUGCCAGGUACUCUGAAGCUCCCAUGGCAAGCCUGGUAACCUGUUGGCUGCACAGGGAAUCAGAUCAGCAGACUGAUGCAGGUUUAAGGCAGCAAAAGGAAAAGAUAUCCAUGGGACAGUGGCCCUAAGAACUAGCUGGACAAGGGGAAGAGACCAGAAUAAAAGGUGGAGGAGGAAGUGACAGUACAGUUCCUACUUAAGGACUUCUGCAUUGUGGACACAUAUCUACAAUUGUGAAGCGUGCACACACUGCUGAGGACCAACUCAGCCAUGUUCAAGUAAGUGCUGAAAAAAAAAAAGCUCAGAUAACUUUCAGUUUUGAAUAAUAACAGAACUAGAGGGAUCUCCAACUCCUGCAUGACAGCAUCUUUGCAAAGCUUGCUGGCACUAAGCAAACAUCUGUCCUGUUCCAGAGCUCUAGCAGGUAGCCCUGAGAAACAGCAAUGGACAGGGUCAGCAUCCAGCAGGAAAGGCAGCUAAAACUGAGCAAAGAUGAGCUGGGCAGGGAACUUACGCUGCAGCCAUGUUAAUGUAUUUUCCAAUCCCCUGCCGGUAAGUUUUAGGAGCCUGGACCUCCUUCUUCAGUGGGACCACCUCAGCUUUUGUUUUGGCUGCUUCUUCUUCCAGCUGAACCUUCUCUCUUUCUGCAGCAACCUGUGGGAAGCAGAGUGCAGUCUGUUACAACAGCUCGUCCAGAGUGAGGAGACCAUGACUGUAGUUCUUUGAAACUCUACAGCACUCUAAGACAGCAAUCAGCACUGCUGCAAUUACAGGGUUGGCUUUAGGAAACGGACCUCAAGUGCCACUACAAACCUGCUGUCUGCAGCCAUUACAACAAAACUUCUCUUUCUCAACUCCACCCAUAGCAGGCAUUUGGGAAGGAAGCUAUUGUUAAGAGUGAGGAGGGGAGCCGUGCCAGCCUGAGCUCCAAAGACCUCUCAGCUGAAACAGCAGCGGUGCUCCCUGCACACAAUGCAAUGUAAGGAGCAGCUGUUCCCCCUUACCUUGUGCCCCUCUGGGCCAGGGCCUCCCACAUGUAGGGGGAGGUGCAAAGAAGAGGCACAGGAGAAGUAUAUGGUCUCCACAAGGGAUCAACUGGGGCAAAAACUGAAGUCACUGAGCUACAAAGUUCUCAGAAGAAGAGCUUUGGCCUAUCAGAUGAGAGAACACCACCCUCACCUGCGCAUCUGCCUCCUCAUACGGGUCAACAAAAACGGUUGUUGCCUGGAUUCGUAUUUCCUCCUGUGAGCAGAAGAGGAGAACAUUGACUCUGGUUAAAUCUGCCCCACGCUCUCCUUUGGGGAAGCAGCAGCAGCAGAGUGACCACACCAUGCAGGGCCAGAGAUGCUCGCUAUCCCCGCACAGCUCCUGGCACUUCCCACUCACCUUGGGACGGUCCGUCUUCGGGUCACUUUCCACAUUCUCCAUAGCAGUCAGAGUCUCAAAGCCACCAACCACUCUGAGAGAGAAAGACAACUUCCAGCUGUCACAGCAUCACCAAAACAUUCCCACACUCCCACAUCCAACACCGUCUCUGCCCACCCACUGUACCAGAUUCUUCUACCACUGUGUUUGGGGGAAGGGCAAUCAGCAACUGUAACUGGAAGACUUAAGAUAAUGUCAUGCAGGACAGAAGCGAUGAACCUGGGGGGGCUUUGGAAAAGCAGCAGAGCAUCACAUCGUGGACCCCUCAUCACGGGCUGUAUUUAAGAGGAUCCCUGGCCACUCAUUUUUCAAGACAACGUAUCCAAAUAUUUGCUUUGAAGCAUUAAAAAAAGGCUGAAGACUUCUGGACUGUUGGUGCUUUUUUCCUACUCCCUCCUCACCCAAAAAAGAAGCAUGGAACAAUGGGAAAAUUCCAGAAAAGGAUAUUUUAAAAGGAUAAAUGGGGUGAUCCAGAUAAUUUUAAGCCUGUCCUCCUGGCAUCUAUCCCAGCAAAAUAACGGAAUAGUGGAGACAGGACAUGAUUAAGAAAGGAAAUAAGUAACGGCAAUCAACAAGGUUUUGUUGAAAACAGUCUGCCAGACAGCCUUCUACCUCUGAGCCACCAGAUGUGGUUAGAGGGGAUACCAGCGGCAGUGGAACGGCCUUCUGGAAGCUGCUGAUAUUUUGAUGGGGAAACCAGAACGAUGCAAACACAGCACGCGUUACAUCAAAAAUCCAGCUGGCAGGUGUGAAAAUCUGCCUUCAAAUAGGAGCCACUGAGCCGGUUUGUUUCCAAGGGAUCCUGCUGGGAUCACCUCUUGGUCCCAAGAUAUUUAUCGGUUUUAUCCACAUCAUCAUCCCCAAUUAAAUGUGAAAAUGGCUAUACUUAGAACAGCAGCAAAUAAAGCCCACUGAUGCCGGGGGAAUCCAGAGCCCUUAGGAAGGCAGGCUGUAGCUGGACAACAUCUGUGUUAACACAGCCAGGCCACAUGGCCAGCAACCAAAACCACAGCCCCUAUGAAUGUCUGUGGGACAAGGAGGAGCAGCCCUAAUUCUGCACAGUGCUCCUCCCGGAGCCAGAGCAGCUCAGGAGCUGUGCAGUGAGAGGGCAGGGCCUGCUGCCCAGGGAGCCCAGUGCUGCAUCUCACUGCACCACCUGGGUAACACUGCACUAAAGAUGACCAACAUAAAGACCCGGCUGCAGAAAGCACUGCUGAGUUCCAGAGGCUGCUGCUAAGCACCUGCCUGAACAGAGGUCCCUGCAAACACUUUGCUGUUGUUUGAGCAUUCCAGUCCUCCCUAUUCCCCAAAGGUGUGUCAAUAUUCUGUAAUCAGGCCGUGACUUCUAAGAGCAAUUAAAAAAACAUGUAUGCAGGCCAGAACAGAUGCAUCCAUUUGCAGCCGGAGAUAUCGCACUGCGGAACCUCCUGAGAGCAGAGGGGGUUUGACAACCCUGCAUUGGCUUCAGCAACUUCGUAAUAAAAACUCAAUUUCAAAACCCUC
Gallus gallus (chicken) is the source of this 3065-nucleotide long non-coding RNA. RefSeq lists it as uncharacterized. The transcript is spliced from 2 exons. NCBI's taxonomy places the organism in Eukaryota, Metazoa, Chordata, Aves, Galliformes, Phasianidae. The record is from RefSeq and is a predicted model, not a curated record.